GACGAAGGACCCAAGCGUUAUCCGGAUUCAUUGGGUUUAAAGGGUGCGUAGGCGGAUUGAUAAGUCAGUGGUGAAAUCUCCAGGCUUAACCUGGAAACUGCCAUUGAUACUGUCGAUCUUGAAUAUGGUUGAUGUGGGCGGAAUAUGACAUGUAGCGGUGAAAUGCUUAGAUAUGUCAUAGAACACCGAUUGCGAAGGCGGCUCACAAAGCCAUUAUUGACGCUGAGGCACGAAAGUGCGGGGAUCAAACAGG
This 253-nucleotide ribosomal RNA is filed under the name uncultured bacterium. RNAcentral describes it as "partial 16S ribosomal RNA". It matches the Rfam family "Bacterial small subunit ribosomal RNA", at positions 524 to 776 of the family's 1533-position model. The record is from RNAcentral.